Molecule: non-coding RNA, 1852 nt
Organism: Heterocephalus glaber (naked mole-rat)
Lineage: Eukaryota; Metazoa; Chordata; Mammalia; Rodentia; Bathyergidae
Source: RefSeq, a predicted model, not a curated record
GCAUCUACCCAGCACGGGGAGGUCUGGUGAGGGGUGAGGAACCAGCACAGAGAAGCCUGCGCUGCAUUCGGAGCACCUCAGAGUAGGGGAUGGAAAAGGGGCAGGAGUAACAGAGCCAAGGUGUGAAAUGAGUAGUGGCCAGGCCUGUGGCCACCUAGACGCAAGCUACAGUAACGGGGCAGCAGGUAGGAUCUACGACAGGGUGUGGAUGACAGAGGGAGGGAGACUGGCGGAGUGAGAAGACAGCCUGAGGACGGGAGCCAUAGAUAAAGGCUGGGUCAGGAAGCGCAGGAAGGCCCGUGAGCGGAGGGCAGGGGACGCACCUGGAACCCAGCCAGUCUCAUCAGAAAAUCAGAAACACCGGGAAGCAUGCUGACCAUGGGGCAGCUAGUGUGCUCCAUGAAGGGGGCAUGGGCUGUGAACUCUGUCCGGUACCCUCCUCCCCUUCUUCUUUUGGUAACAGAAGCCUCCUUGUUUUCACUGGGCACGCGGCUGCCUUGCUAGGAAGGCCGUAUUUCCAACUCCCUUGCAGUUCAAUGUGACUAUGUGGCUAAAUUCUGACCAACAGGACUUAAGCACGAGUGUUAUGUGCAAUGUCCAAACACAGCCUCUCAGGGAGCAGUUUGCCCUCUGUGGAAGGCAGGAUGCGAGCCCCCAAAGAUGUCCACAUGCUGCUCUCCAGAACCUGUGGACGUGUUACGUGGCGAGGAGGAUUGAGUCCACAGGUGGAGGUGCUAGCAGCUCCCGGAGAUGAGAUUAGCCCGGCCCGUGGUGCUGGGCCCAGUUAAAAUGGGAGCAGGAGGCCGACGGGCAUGCGAGUCAGAAAAGGCCGUGUGGGGAGGACGUGGGCUGCUGCUGCUGCUUCAGAGAAGGACAGCCCCUAAAAGCUGGAGAAUCCCAUGAAGGGUUCCCCUCAUGCCAAGCUUUCAGAAUGGAUGGAGCCAGGCCCUGAUUCCAGCCUGGUGAUACCCAUGUUGAAUUUCUGCAGAACUCUCCAGAAAUCAAGGAAACUGUAUGAAACUUAAUACACGAGAAUAUUUCACAAGAAUAUUUGUUCAUAGAGAAGUUUGGAAGUAUUCCUAAAAAGAAAAGCCAUGUUUUAAGUGGAGCCUACAAAGAUGUGUGGCAGUUCACAAACCCGACAAGGUCACAGAGGGCCCAUGUAGCAGAGAAGAAAGUCAUAAAAUAUAGACAAGGCGCAAAUGAGAGAAUAACAGUCAAGCCCAUGCCCUGAACGCCUUCAGAUGGGGCUGCAGCAGAGGGGGCAGAGGGGCGAGGCUGGAGCGAGGGAACAGCAGGAGUAGAAGGGGGGAAGGAAGUUGAGCACGUUUGUGCACUACAGCCCUGAUCUUAGAAGACUGAGGACUGCACACUUUUGGAAGAAAAGCAAGAAAGGUGAAGGUGGGAUUGCAGGUGGGUGGACCAGUCAGAGAGCAAUACCACCAUGCCAUCCCCUGUGCACACCACAAACUUCCCUUUCUUUCUUGAGCGUACUGGGCAUUGAACUUGGGGGCCUCCCACUGAGCCAUCUCCCCAGCCCUUUUUGCAUUUUGAGACAGGGUCUCACUAAGUCACUACAUUGCCCAGGCUGGGCUCAAGCCUCCCAGAGUGCUAGGAUGACAGGUGUUCUCCACCACGCCCAACUCCAUCUGUGCACAAAUCCUCCCAUUUCCUCCCUGUUACAUUUACUGACGAGAGUGAGGCGAUCAGAAGACCAGCAUGUUUUGAAGGGUGUGGAAGGGGAUUCGAACUUGGCAUGGAAGUGGGCCCUGAUCAAGGCCGGGUGGCCAGGAAGAGAGGGCUCAGGGUCAGGUGGAGAAAAAGCAGAGCAGUGCUUGCCGCCUGUGUGGAU